Molecule: ribosomal RNA, 235 nt
Filed under: uncultured Actinomycetales bacterium
Lineage: Bacteria; Bacillati; Actinomycetota; Actinomycetes; Actinomycetales
Description: partial 16S ribosomal RNA
Rfam family: Bacterial small subunit ribosomal RNA
Source: RNAcentral
UGGCGAACGGGUGAGUAACACGUGGGUGAUCUGCCCUGCACUUCGGGAUAAGCUUGGGAAACUGGGUCUAAUACCGGAUAGGACCAUCGUUUAGUGUCGGUGGUGGAAAGUCUUUUCGGUGUGGGAUGAGCUCGCGGCCUAUCAGCUUGUUGGUGGGGUAAUGGCCUACCAAGGCGUCGACGGGUAGCCGGCCUGAGAGGGUGUACGGCCACAUUGGGACUGAGAUACGGCCCAG